GUGAAACCUGUGUUCGAAAGUUUUUGUGAAGUAUGUCACAUUCCAAGGGAAAAUUCAAGCAAAUCUCAUGGUGGUUCUGUGUGUUUUCGUCCUAGAGUGUGUUUUGCAAGUGAAGCCCACAAAAUGCUUGGUUUUUAUGUUACAUGUCUUGUAAUCACCUAUGUCAGCUGUCUAAACAAAAAACUAUUCGCAACCCAUUAUGUUGCAUUCAUCAAACUAUUCUGGUGCUCAUUGAGAGGUUAAGCUCAUGAAACUUCAUUUGUAAAGGAUACUUCCCGUUGAGGAAUGUCACCAAAGAUGCGAAUCCUAUGGCGCCAACUGUAACCACAGCCAUUUCAACAAUUGUAAUCUCUACUUAGCCUACCAACAGACAUAGACAUGUACCUCAAUACAAUUUCUAUUGGACUGCCAUCUCUUUGCUGUCUGCUGCCUAUCUGCUGGCCCUACAGUAUUUCUAGCCAUUGGACAACAGAA
This is a long non-coding RNA of Daphnia carinata, 474 nucleotides long. RefSeq lists it as uncharacterized. NCBI's taxonomy places the organism in Eukaryota, Metazoa, Arthropoda, Branchiopoda, Diplostraca, Daphniidae. The transcript has 4 exons. The record is from RefSeq and is a predicted model, not a curated record.